Molecule: ribosomal RNA, 458 nt
Filed under: uncultured bacterium
Lineage: Bacteria
Description: bacterial SSU rRNA
Rfam family: Bacterial small subunit ribosomal RNA
Source: RNAcentral
ACGAACGCUGGCGGCAUGCCUAACACAUGCAAGUCGAGCGCCUGUAGCAAUACAGGAGCGGCGCACGGGUGAGUAACGCGUGGGAACCUGCCCUUAGGUUCGGAACAACCGCGGGAAACUGCGGCUGAUACCGGAUGAUGUCUUCGGACCAAAGAUUUAUCGCCUUUGGAGGGGCCCGCGUCGGAUUAGGUCGUUGGUGAGGUAACGGCUCACCAAGCCUGCGAUCCGUAGCUGGUCUGAGAGGAUGACCAGCCACACUGGGACUGAGACACGGCCCAGACUCCUACGGGAGGCAGCAGUGGGGAGUAUUGGACAAUGGGGGCAACCCUGAUCCAGCAAUGCCGCGUGGGUGAUGAAGGCCUUCGGGUUGUAAAGCCCUUUCGACGGGGAGGAAGGCACCGGCGCGAAUAGCGUUGGUGAUUGACGUAACCUGGAGAAGAAGCACCGGCUAACUCCGU